GAGGUCUUUGUCUCGUCGUCGUUUCAGCGAAUUCCAAGCUGGUUUUAGGUAAGUUGAUUCGCUACUCCUUUUAUUUUAUUUUAAUAAAUGGAUUGAUAGAUAUGUAGGUCGCGACAAUUUUUAUUAAUUUAGCAUAUGUAUAUUGUGAUGUUCGAUUUAGAUAAAUAGGUAAAUCAAGUAAUUAAGAUACAUAGUUUAAAGAGUUAAUAAAAAACUAGGAAUAAAAAAUAGAUUUUCUAGUGUAACAUGUAAUUUGGUUAAUGAAUAUAGUCGAUGCCCUGUUGUGAUAUCCAUGGUGCUUAAUGCUUGAUUUUAAGUGUUUCAUCCUUUUUAGUGUAGAUUAUCUAAGUUAUACUCGUAUACUCGUGCUCAUACAUGUGCAUCGUGCAUCUCAUGAGGUACGUUAAUUAAUCGAGCGAUGCGGAAGACAAGCCAAGUCGACCCCAAGUGCGGACUACUCCGCAUGGUGGUGCUGAUGGACGAACCCACCUAAUCAAGUGUUAGGACAAGGAUGAUCGUCAAGUGGACGUCGUCUAACAAACACUAACAUAGUGUUUAUUCCAGGCAAGCCCCGGUGCAUGCAACCCCUUCUUUGUAUUUUUAAAUUAUUUUUACACACUUUAAGUCUAGUGAAUGUGCAUUAAGUUUAUAGGAGUUGCUUGAAAACCCUUUGAUGCAUUGGCUACCUUGAUAUCCAUCCCUUUUAUAGAUACUUCUGGUGAAGUAUCAAAAAAAAUUACAAAAAAUGCUUAGCCCUGCUUAUAAGCAGAUAGAGUUUGUCCUUUGCACUUAUGCCUAGCUCAGGUUUAUCGUGAGGAAGGAUGAUUUCUACCUGCAAGAAUAUUUUCAUUGGGAGCAUGGUGGGAUCUUACUGCAAAGUUCCCUAUAAUGCUCUUUUCAUCCUGGGGAGCACAAACACUCCUAAGGAUGGAAGUACUUAAAUCGGGACUUGGGCUAGGAACAGGUGAUGCUCCGCCCAGGUUAAUUAAGGAUUGGAUGCGUAUGUAGGCCUGUUGAUCAAGGACUAUCUUAACUAGCCACAUGCCCUGGAAAUGGGACAGGGUAAGCUUGAACCCGGCUAUUCCAUACGUGAAAAGACAAUCGCGCACUGGGCGUGGGAGAUGGUGGGAGUAGCGUGUACCCUCCUGGCUAGAGGCUGGAUGGAGGAGUACUGUGCUCCCGGGUAGCACGGACCGGUUCACGUUGUGGAGGAUCUGUGGGAACGGUUGACAUAUGCAAGGGUUAAGUGCUACAUAUGUCGUGUGGUUAGAAAUCCUCAGCUGAGUAAAUCGAUUCGGAUCGCCGUUAUAUCCCCGGAGAGUGGAGACUUGAUCUCCGACCUGCAACCUAAGUCAGGAUGUAAACAUUACGAGUAAAAAUGAUGUUGUAUUGAUGAGAUGGUGAAAUUAGACUAGGUGCAAACAGAGUCUAUUAAUAUUUAAUCUGGCAUUAAAAUAUUGAAAGUAAGGACUUACUUUAGUAAGCUUUUUCUGCAAAAGUAUCUAAGUUGAUUCUUGCUAGAUUCCUAAAUCCAGCAUAUCCUUGAGAGUCUUUUUCCUUAGUCGGGUAAGACUUGCGAAAGUACACUUCGUACUCAGGGCUUUGUCCCAUGUUGUUUUAGGUGAAGAGCCUACGGAGCUUUGCCACUUUUGUGCAAAGGUGGUUCCCAAGCAGGAGGAAGAACCGAAAAUAGAAGUGUGUUGCUGUGGAUGGUGGUAAGUGCCGGUGGGCUCGGCCUUCUUAUAAGUCUUAGUAACUCUUCUAUACUUCUUAUUGAGGAUGGUCACUUAAGCUAGCAUAUAUUUCAAACUUAUAAAUAAUUUAUAAUAUUUCAAAGUAUAUUUCUUUGAAUCACCUUUGUAAUCACUCCAAUCUUGUACAAUGUAAACUUGAUGUAACUUGUAAAAUUUGGUAAUAAGAUUUCCGCUGCAAAAAUGUUGGUGUGUGAUUUGUGUUUACUUAAUCUUGCGAUCUUGGUUGUUAGUGGUUCAUCCGAGGUCCUUGGGGCACUCGGACAGAUCCUGUUAAGUUAUUUGGUGCACAUGCAUAGCCGUCUGAGGUCUUUGAGACAAGGACAGGUGCAUGUGGGCCCAAUAACUUGGGAGGUUCUGCCACAGCUGGUACCGGAGCAGGAUUAAGUAUAUACGGUCACAUACGUAUUUUUAAAACAAAAGUUUUGGUUUCGAAAAACCUAUUUUCAACUAAACACAUUGUUUGGCUUUGAAAAACAAUUUUGAAAAACUAUAAUGCUAGCGACAUCCUCUGUUAAGCCCUAAACUAAGGAUUAUCAGGUGGCUUAGUUAAAAACCAUAACCCAUAACCGGGUGGGUAUUGCAUACAUGUGUAUUGUUAUUUUUGAGGCCAUUCAGUUCUGAAUGGAUCGACGCUCAAGGUAAGGUGAGAUGUGAGAGCAUGACUGAACAAACGUCGGUCUAGGGAAGAGUGUAAAAAGCGCUUGAUUAUAUACAUGUUUCACAUAUGUAUAUAUGAAGGCUGCGAUGUGGAGUAUUUACUUUUCUGGGAAUUUGGUACCCCAUGGAUGUGUAUGGGUAUACAGACAUGGGAAUACUGAGAAGUGUAAUGUACUUGUAACGACGCACCUACGCUCAGGUAAGGAGUUGAGUUACCAUAAUGAGUUGCCCUAUGGUUAAAGUGUGGCAACAACGCCCUAUGCGUGGCUCGACGCUUAAUGAUGAGCUGGCCUCCAUAUAGCAAUAUAUGGAGUAUAAACUGUGAUAAACUGUCAUGUGUGAACUGCAUCAUUGGAAAUUGGGCUGUGAUGGCUUUUUCUGGAGGUACAUUAACCUCGAAAACGUAUGUGUAGCUGACGACUAGCAAAAUACCGUGAGAGUCGUAAGUAUGCCACCGAUAUAGAACGUUAUUGCCACAUUAUGUUGGCAAAAACUCAGUGAGGACGAAUAAGACGAGCAUGCAUCCUGAUUGUUGCAUUAUGUUUGUCACCUAUACACCCAAAAUGCUUCCCUCAUCUUUAUUCCAGUAACCAGUGCUUGAGUUCCUAGGUUCUUGUAAGUCCUAGGUUUUGUGUAGUUUGUUUGCUUAAACCCAAAAUUAGGCCAUGUUCCUAUUUAGGGAACCAUGACCCAAAGUUGAUUUUUCCAUUAUCACUCCAUGACCAAACACAUAAAAAUAAAUGCCUAGAUAAUUUCUUUGUUCGACCUAAAGUGUACCCGAACUUGAAACAAGAAUCUCGAGUCAUGUCUCCAUCCUAAACCAUAUCCUUAUUCAGUUGGUGCAAGCUGAUGUCUCUAUUCUAGUUUGCCUGUUCUUGAAGAUUGCAAUGUUGUUUUAUCAACCUAACCUAGGAAAAGCAAGUCCAACCAUUUUCUUGAUUUGAUGCCUUUGGUUUCCUCAUGUUUAUCGAAGGCAUAUCAACUUAAUCCUUGACCUUGUGAUCUCUGCGAUGGGCAUAGAAAUAUGCUUGGGGCUGAAGUUACAGUCUCCCAUCGUACUCCCUCACCACCCAGUUUAGGUUAUGGCCAUGCCUUGUUCAUUUCAUCGGGCCAUGAUCUAUUUGGCUCUCUACUUGUAACCAUUCAUACAGGUGGAGUAUCUCUUUGUAUAUUAUCACCCUUGCCCAGUCUAUUUGUGUUGUGCGAGAUUUCUUAUUAGUUAUGUCUGGUAAUGGUGUUAUGACUAAAACUGGUGGUGCCGUGACGAAACCGAGGGCCUUCUGUGUGUGCGCACACAUGGUCGUGCUGCUCGGCACGCGCGAGUAUCACUGUUAGUAGUUGUAAUCCAUUAUGAGACUAUAUCAAUGUGUUAUCUUGGCACAAUCUGUUUUUGCUACGUGAGAUUCAUUAUUGGUGCUGUUCAGUAAUGGUGUUAUGAUUAAUGACUUAUGGUGCCGCUGCGAAACUGAGAGCCUCCUGUGAAUGCGCACACAAGAUUGUGCUACUCGUCGGAUGCUGGUAUCAAGGUCUCUGGUCAUGGUCCAUUGUGGAAUUACACUAAUAUGUUACCUUCCGUAGAUCUACUCAUCGAAACGAGUUCAGUGUUGUUUGCCGAAGUGACCAAGCAACAUCUAUCAUCUCUGUUGGACCAAAAGGGCAUACCACUUUCAUGUAUGGUCUCUUUUCUUUUGAUCUUACUUAUACAAGUUCCCUUUACAUCCUUUGUGUAAAGGUGAAGCCUUGGAGCUUUUUAGUGUUGAGAAACAACUGAUUAGCUCUCAAAAUGGAGAUCUGUUUCCCCUUGCUGCUGAGAUGCAGAAGUUUGUUCAUUCGCUCUCUUAUUUAAUCCAUGUAUUCCUGGACCAAGUCAAUUCAUCUCGCAUGAAAAAAACGGAUGAACAACAUGACCAAAUGGAUUUUUACCCAAAUGCAUGACCUUUUGGUAGCAAAUGUGGACUCUCAACCCUUGGCUUACCAAUGGUACUGAGAGGACCUACUCAAUGUCAAAAGUAGUUCAACAAGUUGGUUUUACUAACUUGUAACUGCCCAAUGAACAAAGGUUGAGUUUAAAGAUCGUUUUGUCGAGUUGCCUAAACUCACUUUGGUUCAACCCAUCCUAAGAAAGUUCUUACAAAGAUCAAGUUAAAGUCGACUGAUAGUCACCUAAUUAUCGCUCUAGUCAUGCCUCGAUCGCCUCACGUGUGUUUUUCCCAGCAUAUGUGAUCAAGUCAAGCCAUGCCUAGUGCUCGAUAGAAUGGACUGGUUGCAAAGUCCGCAUCUAUAGAUCCCUUCGCUGGUAAUUUUUUGAGUCUCUAUCAUUUCCUUGAGAUUGGAUUCUCUGGCUAGCCACGGGUCAACUGUGAUGUUAUUCGACAUUCACACCCAUCUCGUGUGAUAUGAAUUUAUUGUGACCACUUGUUGGUAAACCUCUUUCUGUGUGUUUUACCUAAGAGGUUGCAUCUGAUUCUGUUUGGAUAAAAUCGAGUAUUUACCGCUCGCUCAACAGACUCAGAUAGUACAGUGUCAUCAGAAAAAGCAAACUGCACACAUGGAGAUAUUGUCUCUACUAAUGGACAUUGCUAAAUUGGCUUACGCCGAUACAUGAUAUGUCCACUAGAGAAACCCUAUCCUGAGACACUCGCCUGUGCUUGAAACUGUCUUAUGAUUACCGCUGAUAUGGACGUGGGUUACAAUAUUCUCUAUUCUUAGAAGUCUUUCGUUCCGAAUCUCGAGAUGAGAUUCUUUUAAGGGGGGAGGGAUAUAACACACCUGGUGUUUAUAUUCCGCUCGACAACGAGUAUGGACUUAAGCACGCAAUAUCAGUGGAUAAAGCGGAUGCUAAAUUUUAACCAUUUUCCUCUAUCGCGAUUUUAAUAUCGCAUCUGUUUCGUUUGUCGCGAGUUCGACAUCGUUUUUAUCUAUUUGGUCUCCUCCUAAAUUUUCGUGUUGUUCGGAACAUAGUCGUUCCGAAAAUCGGCGCGUCCGAUGAUUAAUUAAAAUUCAUCGUCACGCGAAUCCGAAUUCAGAAGCUCGACCUCCUUUUACGCCUUUUUAUCCCAGACAGAUUAAUUUGAACUCGACGACUAAAAUACCCGGUGCAAAAUAAUCCGAAUCGUACGUCGUCCGAGUGAAAUCGUGUGCGAGGAUAUAAUUCAAUUUAUUCUUCGGCACGCUGUUUGGCGACGAAAUCGCGUAUGCAUUUGCGGAUCUGAUUUUGGCUAAUUUUGGUCGAAUCACGUAGAACAAAUUAUCAGUCCGAAAUCAGUUUAUUUCGGUCUGUUGUUCUCGCCUGGAUCCGAAUCUUCGGAUAUAAACAAGUAUUAAAUAAUUCGGUUCCUACUAUCCACCGUGAAAUCGUGUACGGGAAUCCAUAAUUGAGCUUCGAUUCACUGGUAAAUUAUCCUGACUGUGGAACCAGGUACUCUGACGCGGAUAAAAUUACUUGAUUUCGAAUAGAAGGAAACACAGUUUGAAAUACUGUUGUUAACAUCAUUCUGAUUUGUUCUGAUUAUGUCUCGUCCCGAUCUAAAAAUCUUAAUUUUCGAAAUAUCUGCGAUUUCUGUUAUAAAGAAAGAAUAGAAAUUGAGAAAAAAACUGAGAAAAAUCUUCUCCUACGCCGCUCACCUGCCUUGUCCGUUGAUUUUUCUGCAGCCAUUCUUCCUCUGAUUUUUACCGUCCGUCACCAGCUCUCGUUCAUCCUCAUCCUCAUCCUCCUAAGAUUUUUUUUUUCAGUCGCCGGCUGAUCUUUUUCUCCAGCGACCAAGCUCCAGUCCGGCGCUCAUCUCUCUCUGCUCGCCUUCUCCAAUCGUCGCGCAGCCCGUGGAAAACGCGUCGGCAGCGCUCAGCAAUCCUUAUCUUCAGCCGUGCGUUCUUCUUCUUUGCGCAGCAAGUCAUCUGCUCUCUGGAUAUUUUCAGCGCUAAGCAAUCCUUAUCUCCAGCCGUGUGUUCUUCUUCUUUGCGCAGCAAAUCAUCUGCUCGAUCUCCCUCUUGUUUCUCUGUUGGCGCGCACCUAGAUCUUCUUCCCCACGCGCGCAGCCAUCCUCUGCUCGGUGCUUCCUCAGUCGCGCCCUGAGGUUCUUCCCGCCCAGCUCAGCCGCUCCCUCCUCUCCUUCCCUGCUCGCCCCCGCCUCCUUGGUUCUCCUCGCCGGCGCCCUGCCUUUUCCCAACCGCGCCGGUCGCUGCUUUCCCCGACCUCGCCGGCGCUCCUCCCUCUGCCCGUUGCCAUGGCCGUCGUGAGCUCGCCCCCAACGUCGAGCUCGGCUUUGAGCUCCCUCCCUGCUCGGCUCUGCCCUCAACGCCGGCCAUUUCCUGCUCCAACCGUCGCGCCCCAAGCUUCUCUAAUCGAGCGUCGUGUGGUCGCCUGACCGCGCUCCUCCUCGGCCUCUGCUUCUCGGUAGCGCCCCUGCAUCCUCCCUCGCCGGUGACAGCUCCUGCGUGCGCGCGAUGGCCGCAAUGAAGACGCUACGUGCGCUGGUGUCCGAAGUCCGAACUCGCCCUGGUCAUGGCGCUUGCCGCUUGGCUUCUCCAGCCGCGCGUGGAACGCGCUCCCUGCCAGUGUCGUUUUCUGCUCUGCCGUUGGCAUAACAUCGUUUGUUGUUGCUAGUUGAUGCAACGUUGCCGUGCUUCGACGCCGCGCCGUGAGCAGCGACUUCGUCGAUCCGUCACUUUGCCAUGGUACUUGCGCUGCUCUCCUGUGUAUGUGAUGAUUGGAAAAAGAGUCACAGCUGAUAAAGGAUUAAGGAACGAAAGCUCUAGUACACCGCCUGCCAGUUGAUCGUCGUACAGUCUCAACCAGGGUCUCAUCAUUUUCCUUGUGAAGUUCGAGCCGAUUAUAAUUUUGGAAGGAGAUUUGGUGCUGAAGUCGAAGCCAGCAACCUCCUUAUUCUUCGUCGUCAAUUCACGUCGCGUUCGCGACCUUCUCGUCGACCCCGACGAUUUAUCUUCCAAUUGCGCGCUAGUUGCGUUGAACUCGGAAGCUACCUGUCACGCUCGAUCCUGGAGGUCUUUGUCUCGUCAUCGUUUCAGCGAAUUCCAAGGUGGUUUUAGGUAAGUUGAUUCGCUACUCCUUUUAUUUUGUUUUAAUAAAUGGAUUGAUAGAUAUGUAGGUCGCGACAAUUUUUAUUAAUUUAGCAUAUAUAUAUUGUGAUGUUCGAUUUAGAUAAAUAGGUAAAUCAAGUAAUUAAGAUACAUAGUUUAAAGAGUUAAUAAAAAACUAGGAAAAAAUAGAUUUUCUAGUGUAACAUGUAAUUUGGUUAAUGAAUAUAGUCGAUGCCCUGCUGUGAUAUCCAUGGUGCUUAAUGCUUGAUUUUAAGUGUUUCAUCCUUUUUAGUGUAGAUUAUCUAAAUUAUACUCGUAUACUCGUGCUCAUACAUGUGCAUCGUGCAUCUCAUGAGGUACGUUAAUUAAUCGAGCGAUGCGGAAGACAAGCCAAGUCGACCCCAAGCGCGGACUACUCCGCAUGGUGGUGUUGAUGGACGAACCCACCUAAUCAAGUGUUAGGACAAGGAUGAUCGUCAAGUGGACGUCGUCUAACAAACACUAACGUAGUGUUUAUUCCAGGCAAUCCCCGGUGCAUACAAUCCCUUCCUUGUAUUUUUAAAUUAUUUUUACACACUUUAAGUCUAGUGAAUGUGCAUUAAGUUUAUAGGAGUUGCUUGAAAACCCUUUGAUGCAUUGGCUACCUUGAUAUCCAUCCCUUUUAUAGAUACUUCUAGUGAAGUAUAAAAAAAAUAAUUGUCGGGGACCAUAAUUAGGGGUACCCUGAAGGCUCCUAAUUCUCAGCUGGUAACCCCCAUCAGCAUAUAGCUGCAAAGGCCUGAUGGGUACGAUUAAGUCAGGGUUCAGUCCAUUCGAGGGACUCGAUCACGCCUCGCCCGUGCCUAGCCUCGGACAAGGGCAGCCGACCCCGGAGGAUCUCCGUCUCGCCCGAGGCCCCCCCUCCAGCGGCGAACAUAUUUCCGGCUCGCCCGAGGCCCUGUCUUCGCCAAGAAGCAACCCUGACCAAAUCGCCGCACCGACCGACCGAAUCGCAGGAGCAUUUAAUGCAAAGGUGGCCUGACACCUUUAUCCUGACGCGCGCCCCCCAGCCGACAGAGCCGAAGUGACCGCCGUCACUUUGCCGCUCCACUGGCCGGUCUGACAGAAAGACAGCGCCGCCUGCGCCGCUCCGACUGCGGUGCCACUUGACACAGUGAGGCUGACAGGCAGUCAGGCCCGACCGCAGGCACCAUAGGAAGCUCCGCUUCGCCCGACCCAGGGCUCGGACUCGGGCUAAGCCCCGGAAGACGGCGAACUCCGCUCCGCCCGACCCAGGGCUCGGACUCGGGCUAAGCCCCGGAAGACGGCGAACUCCGCUCCGCCCGACCCAGGGCUCGGACUCGGGCUAAGCCCCGGAAGACGGCGAACUCCGCUCCGCCCGACCCAGGGCUCGGACUCGGGCUAAGCCCCGGAAGACGGCGAACUCCGCUCCACCCGAUCUAGGGCUCGGACUCAAGCUCAGCCCCGGAAGACGACGAACUCCGCUCCGCCCGACCCAGGGCUCGGACUCCGCCCUGGCCUCAGCCGACGGUCUCCGCCUCGCCCGAACCAGGGGCUCGGACUCGACCUCGACCACGGAAGACAGACUCGACCUCAGCUUCGGAGGAGCUUCCACAUCGCCCAACCUAGGGCGCAGACCAGCCACGUCAACAGGAGGCGCCAUCAUCACCCUACCCCGAGCUGACUCGGGCCACGGGGAACAAGACCGGCGUCCCAUUUGGCUCGCUCCGCUAGAUAGGCAAUGAUGGCGCCCCGCGUACUCUGUGACGACGGCGGCUCUCAGCCCCCUUACGGAAGCAAUAGGACGUCAGCAAGGACUCAACAGCUCCAACAGCUGUCCCUCCACCAGGCUCCAGCACUCCUCCGACGACCACGACAUCACACCAGCUGGGUGCCAAAAUCUCUCCGGCUGCCACGACGGCAUGUACUUAGGGCGCUAGCUCUCCUCCGCUAGACACGUAGCACUCUGCUAUACCCCCCAUUGUACACCUGGAUCCUCUCCUUACGCCUAUAAAAGGAAGGACCAGGGCCCUCUUAGAGAGGGUUGGCCGCGCGGGGACGAGGACGAGAACAGGCGCUCGCUUGGAGCCGCUCGCUCCCUCUCCCGCGUGGACGCUUGUAACCCCCUACUGCAAGCGCACCCGACCUGGGCGCGGGACGAACACAAAGGCCGCGGGAUUUCCACCUCUCUCACGCCUGUCUCCGACCACCUCACUUCCCCCCUUCGCGCUCGGCCUCGCGUCGACCCAUCUGGGCUGGGGCACGCGACGACAUUCACUCGUCGGCUUAGGGACCCCCCGGUCUCGAAACGCCGACAGUUGGCACGCCAGGUAGGGGCCUGCUGCGUGUUGACGAACAGCUUCCCGUCAAAGCUCCAGAUGGGCAGUCUCCAGCAACCUCUCCGACCCGGGGCGGUGCUCCGUUUCGGGAGCCUUGAGUUCAUGUCCCUCGACGGCGGCUACGACAUGAUACUCCUUCCACUGCCGGACGACAGCGACAAUGGCGGCCGACAGCCCGCCCGCCGGCGGCGGAAUCGACGACGUCUUCCCCGCGUGGUGGAAGAACAACCAUCGAGCUCGCCCCGCCCUCUUCCCCGCCGACGAAUGGGAAGGCGGGGCAACCAAGGCCGAGUAGGGGGCGACGCCUCGUCGAUUGUCGAGCGAGUCGAUAGCGCCGACACCUCAACGCGGGGCGCAUCGGGCAUCGACCUCGUGCUUGAGACGAAGACGAGCACUAUCUCCCCGCGACACACCAAUCCCGAGCAAGCGGACGACGCCAGCACGCUCGCGAAAGGCUUACUGGACGUCACCCUCGGACCUGAGACGACGAUGCAGUCAGUCCCCGACGUGACUUCAUCACCGUCCGUCGACCAAGAGGUACCGACGGAUUCCCAUCCCACGUCUUUCAGAUUUAGCCUCGACCCGCCUAGCGGCUUCGCUUUGGCGGGCGCUCUCGUUGAGGCGAGUCCAAACCCUCUGGGGUUUCGUAUGCGGUCACCUUGGGACCGGCUGACAGACGUCUCGACCUACGGGCCCUCUGGGUCCGAGGAAGACGACGAGCCCAACUUCUGUUGGGACUUCUCCGGACUUGGCAACCCCAGUACCAUGCGGGACUUCCUGACCGCAUGCGACUACUGCCUUUCCGAUUGUUCCGACGGUGGCCGUAGCCUCGGCGACGAGGGCUGCGGCCCAAGCCGCGAAUGUUUCCACGUCGAUCUAGGGGGUCCCUCCGAAGGCAACCAUCUCGGCAUGUCGGAGGAUGGUGAUCUCCCUAGGCCGGUGCCUCGCGUUGACAUCCCACGGGAGCUAGCUGUGGUCCCCGUUCAGGCGGGGGGCCAUGACCCACAGCUCGAGCAAAUCCGCGGGGUGCAGGCCAGGCUCGACGAGGAAGCAGGAACGCUUGAGCCGAUCCGCCGGGACGUCGGGCAGGCAUGGGUGGCCCAACCUCCAGCCGGAGAAAUACGUCAUCUACCCCAGGGCUUUCAGCACCGCGUCGCCGACGACGUCAGGGUCUGGCCGCCACCCGCAUCUAGUGGGGUCGGCCAGAACCUGGCUGCAGCAGCAAUGCUCCUCCGCGCGAUGCCGGAGCCAUCAACCACCGAGGGGCGGCGAAUCGAGGGAGAGCUCAAGAAUCUCCUGGAAGGCGCCGCGGUCCGACGGGCCGAGAGCUCCGCCUCCCGAAGGCAGGGAUACCCCUCGGAACCUCAUGCCGCAACUUCCCGAUUCGUGCGGGAAGCCUCGGUCUACACCGAGCGCACGCGCAACACAGCGCCUGCGGCCCCGGGUCGCCUCGGCAACGAGCACCAUCACCACGACCGUUGGGCCCACCUCGACGAGAGGGUGCGCCGAGGCUACCACCCCAGGCGUGGGGGACGCUACGACAGCGGAGAGGAUCAGAGCCCCUCGCCCGAACCACCCGGUCCGCAGGCCUUCAGCCGGGCCAUACGACGGGCGCCAUUCCCGACCCGGUUCCGACCCCCGACUACUAUCACAAAGUACUCGGGGGAGACGAGACCGGAACUGUGGCUCGCGGACUACCGUCUGGCCUGCCAACUGGGUGGAACGGACGAUGACAACCUCAUCAUCCGUAACUUCCCCCUGUUUCUCUCCGACACCGCCCACGCCUGGUUGGAGCACCUGCCUCUGGGGCAGAUCUCCAACUGGGACGACCUAGUCCAAGCUUUCGCCGGCAAUUUCCAGGGCACGUACGUGCGCCCCGGGAAUUCCUGGGACCUCCGAAGCUGCCGACAGCAGCUGGGAGAGUCUCUCCGGGACUACAUCCGGCGAUUCUCGAAGCAGCGCACCGAGCUGCCCAACAUCACCGACUCGGAUGUCAUCGGCGCGUUCCUCGCUGGCACCACCUGCCGCGACCUGGUGAGCAAGUUGGGUCGCAAGACCCCCACCAGGGCGAGCGAGCUGAUGGACAUCGCCACCAAGUUCGCCUCCGGCCAGGAGGCGGUCGAGGCUAUCUUCCGGAAGGACAAGCAGCCCCAGGGCCGCCCAUCGGAAGAUGCCCCCGAGGCGUCAACUCAGCGCGGCGCCAAGAAGAAGGGCAAGAAGAAGUCGCAAGCGAAACGCGACGCCGCCGACGCGGACCUUGUCGCUGUCGUCGAGUACAAUAACCCUCGGAAACCCCCCGGAGGUGCCAACCUCUUCGACAAGAUGCUCAAGGAGUCGUGCCCCUAUCACCAGGGGCCCGUCAAGCACACCCUUGAGGAGUGCGUCGUGCUUCGGCGCCACUUCCACAGGGCCGGGCCACCCGCGGAGGGUGGGAGGGCCCACGAUGAUGAUAAGAAGGAAGAUCACCAAGCAGGAGAGUUCCCCGAGGUCCGCGACUGCUUCAUGAUCUACGGUGGGCAAGCGGCGAAUGCCUCGGCUCGGCACCGCAAGCAAGAGCGCCGGGAGGUCUGUUCGGUAAAGGUGGCGGCGCCAGUCUACCUAGACUGGUCCGACAGGCCCAUCACCUUCGACCAAGCCGACCACCCCGACCAUGUGCCGAGCCCGGGGAAAUACCCGCUCGUCGUCGACCCCAUCAUCGGCGACGUCAGGCUCACCAAGGUCCUCAUGGACGGAGACAGCAGUCUCAACAUCAUCUACGCCGAGACCCUCGGGCUCCUGGGUGCCGAUCUGUCCUCCGUCCGGGCAGGCGCUGCGCCCUUCCAUGGGAUCAUUCCCGGGAAGCGCGUCCAGCUCCUCAGACAACUCGACCUUCCCGUCUGCUUCGGAACACCCUCCAACUUCCGAAGGGAGACCCUGACGUUCGAGGUGGUCGGGUUCCGAGGAACCUACCACGCGGUACUGGGAAGACCAUGCUACGCGAAGUUCAUGGUCGUCCCCAACUACACCUACCUGAAGCUCAAGAUGCCGGGCCCCAACGGGGUCAUCACCGUCGGCCCCACGUACAAACACGCAUUCGAAUGCGACGUGGAGUGCAUGGAGUACGCCGAGGCCCUCGCCGAGUCCGAGGCCCUCAUCGCCGACCUGGAGAGCCUCUCUAAGGAGGUGCCAGACGUAAAGCGUCAUGCCGGCAACUUUGAGCCAGCGGAGACGGUUAAGCCCGUCCCCCUCGACCUCAGCGGCGACACCUCCAAGCAGAUCCGGAUCGGCUCCGGGCUCGAUCCCAAAUAGGAAGCAGUGCUCGUCGACUUUCUCCGCGCGAACGCCGACGUCUUCGCGUGGAGUCCCUCGGACAUGCCCGGCAUACCGAGGGAUGUCGCCGAGCACUCGCUGGACAUCCGAGCCGGAGCCUGACCCGUCAAGCAGCCUCUGCGCCGAUUCGACGAGGAGAAGCGCAGAGCCAUAGGCGAGGAGAUCCACAAGCUAAUGGCGGCAGGGUUCAUCAAAGAGGUAUUCCAUCUCGAAUGGCUUGCCAACCCUGUGCUUGUGAGAAAGAAAGGGGGGAAAUGACGGAUGUGUGUAGACUACAGUGGUCUAAACAGGGCAUGUCCGAAGGUUCCCUACCCUCUGCCUCGCAUCGAUCAAAUCGUGGAUUCCACUGCUGGGUGCGAAACCCUGUCUUUCCUCGAUGCCUACUCAGGGUAUCACCAAAUCAGGAUGAAAGAGUCCGACCAACUCGUGACUCCUUUCAUCACACCCUUUGGCAUGUGCUGCUAUGUCACCAUGCCGUUCGGCUUGAGGAAUGCGGGCGCGACGUACCAGCGGUGCAUGAACCAUGUGUUCGGCGAACACAUUGGCCGCACGGUCGAGGCCUACGUCGAUGACAUCGCAGUUAAGAUGAGGAAAGCCUCCGACCUCCUUUCCGACCUUAAAGUGACAUCCCGAUGUCUCAAGGCGAAAGGCGUCAAGCUCAAUCCCGAAAAGUGUGUCUUCGGGAUGCCCCGAGGCAUGCUCUUGGGGCUCAUUGUCUCCAAGCGGGGCAUCGAAGCCAACCCGGAGAAGAUCGCAGCCAUCAUGCAGCGCCCCGAGCCCUUGAUUGAAGACACCCGGGGGCUACACGCACCUCUGGGAAGGGCCGCUUGUCAUCGCCAGAGCUCUGAAGCCCGGGACAAACGAACUGGCCGACGGUCAAGGCGAAGUCUACACCAACACUUCGAACGUCUAACAGCUACGUUGCUUCUACCCUUAAGAUGCUUUCGAGUUGUCCCCUUACCUUGCCCCCGUGCAAGUUUUAGUCGUCAAGGAAGGGUCAGCCCUGCCUCUGCAGAACCCGACCCUCCCUCGGGGGCUAAAAAGGGGGGAACCCCUCUGCGUCAAAAUUUUCAAUCGAAAAGACCUUUGCGUUCCCCCGGCUAUGUCAGAAGCAGGACCCCAAGGAGCGAACGCGGGUGCAUGUAAGUGGCAAGGCCGACUGAGCCGAGGGACUCCUACGCCUCCGUGUUACGGACACCUCACUCGUCACCCGCCACGAAAAGUGACCCCUACUUGGGGAAUCCACCCUGCUACUGACAGGCGGGGCCGGACACGCAAAAUGAAAGGGAAAGGAGUACGACUUCGUGCAACGGUAACAAAGUGUUCAGGCCCCAGCGGCCGCAGAAAGACACACGCGCAUCCAACAGAAACUGCUCCGACAGAGUUAGGCGUCGCCCCGGGAAGGAGCCGCGCCUUCGGCUUCGUCCCCGACCUCGGCAAAGUCCAUCCCGGCUUCGGACGACGACGCAGGUGGGAGGAUCUCUGCCUCAAAGGUGGACGCCAGCACUGCGCUCGGACCCGCGGCGGCCGCAUCAAGCCUCUGGACUUCUGCCAGGGCGGCUUCAUCUUUGUCAGGAAGGCAAUACCCCUCGCUGACCCGCUCCAGGUCCACAACGUAGUGGGAAGCGAGCACGGCGAAGGCCCGCCUGACGCCGUGGUGUAGCGCCUCGCGGAGUCUGCCGCGCACAUGAUCGCCCAAGACCUGCAGGCGACUUUGAGGGGAGCUUCCUGAGGGGACGUCGCCGGAGCCAAGGACCCGACAAAAGUCCGAGACGGCCUCGGACAUGGCCACGUGGUCGGCCUCCCUCUGCUCGGCCGCCCCGGCAAGCGCCUCGGCAAGCGCCUUGGCGGACUCAUCAAGGGCGGACUCGAGCUCUGCGAACAGCCAGAAGAAAGAUCUCAAACACAAGCGAAGGAAACAAGCAGAAACAAAAACCGAAGAUGGCCAAGGCGUACCUCCGGCUCGGGCACGCUGCUCCGAGGCUGCGACCUGGGCUACGGCUAGGUCGGCUGCAAGGGCUUCAGCCCGGCUUUCAGCCUCGGCAGCCCGGCCCCGAGAUUGGUCCCGCUCAUUGACGAUCCGGUCGAACUCCGACUGCUGUCGUUGCACUUCUGCGCGCGCCGCAGCCGCCUCCGCGCGUGCCGUUGCCGCCUCGGCUCUCAGAUCGGUGCAGAGCAACCGAAGGUCCGCCGCCUCGGCACCCUGCUGAGAGAGGCGUGCAGUAGCCCCGGCGAGCGAGGUCCUCAGGGAUCGCAGCGAGCCCCAGACGUCGACCUCGCGGCGGAUGAACGACGACUUGGCGGCGCUCAGAUCCGUCAGAUCCUGAAGGAAGGAAGCGAGGCGUCACGAGAGACGCCUUGGUCACAAAAGAGAAAAGGUAUGCCUGAAACCGUUACCUGGAGGAUUUUUGGGACGUCCCUGCAGAAAACCUCCAGCGACGACCGGAGCGACCCCACCGUUGCUUCGGCACACUCGCGGAGCUCGUCCCAGGACUGGUCCUCCCGUUCAUCGUCGAGAACGAAGACGGGAUCCGAGGCCUCACGGGUCCGGAACCGGAGCAACUGGCGCCGACCCUCGGAGCUCCGCCGCACAGCGACAAGGCUGCCGCCCGGCGGGACGGGUCGCGUCUCCACGCCCCCCUCCUCCGAGGCACCAAGCGCCGACGCCUCAGCCGUCUCUGCGUCGGCAGCGACCGGUCGCUCCCCGACUGGGACGGCGGCGGUUUCAGUAGCGACAGGUGCCAGCACCGUCGGCACGUCCGGUGGGGCCGGGGCCACGUCCGCAUCAGCCGCCUCCCCUAGCACGAUGGCCGCCUCGGCAGAAGAGCCGGCCUCGGGAACUCGCUCCACGGCGACUGGCGCCACCUGAGCUCCCUGCUGUGGAGCACCUUGCAAAAAGGUCAGCUGAACGGCAAGGCCCGGAGCGGCGCCGGCCGCGCAAGCUGACGCUGUCUUAAGGGCCUUUCGGGGAGCCAGAUCGGUCAGGCCAUGGCUUCGCUUGCUGAGGGGAAAAGAAAAAUCACGGCCGAGGCAUACGAAUGAAAAGCCAGGACAAAGACGUUCCAAGAUACUUACCCGCUCCGGGCCAUGAUCAACCGUGCCUGGGGGGAGGUCUCUCGGAUCUCGACCCCCGAAGGCGCCGCCGAGGUCUGCUCCGCCGGCAGCUUCGGCACCACCCUUACUUUGGGCGCUUUGAACGCCCGGGGCGCGGACUGCCCAGGCACUGCCACCGCGACCUGAGGGUCGCUCUCCCGCGGUGCCGGCGUGGGCGACGGCUCUCGGGGAGCAGACGCCUCGACCUGGCUCCUCGGGGCCGCCUCAACUCUCCCAGCCGAGAGGUCAAGUACCCUCUCGGAUUGCCCCCUCUCCUCGGGCCAGGACCCCGGCGUCCCGACUCCGGGGACUGACGGCAUCAGCCCGCUCGGGGGCUGGCCUGACGGCUCCUGGCCUAACCUCAAGCCAGGGCUGAGGCCAAGGCGGGCUGCCAUGUCGUCUUCCUCGUCAUCAUCUUCAUCAUCGUCGUCGUCAUCAGGCGUUUCCGGCGACGGCUCCCUCGGGAGCCCCUCCCUCUCCUGCCGACGACGAAGCUUUUCCAAGGCGUCUCGAGCCCGCAUCCGCUCGCGGGCCCGGGCCUUCUCCGCGUCCUUCUUUUUCUUCUUCUCCUCCGCAGCGACCCGCCGCGCUGCUUGGUCCACCGCAUCCUGCGGGACCCGUGGCAGGGAAGGCUUGUGCCACCCCACCUCCUGAAGACGGAGGGAAAUCCCAACCAUAAGAACCAGGAGCAACCCGAUGCAAGAGGAAGGAAGGAGCGGACACUCACCAGAGUCACGCACCCUUGGUCGGGGCGCAUCGAAGGCUGGGAGAAGGCGCUGAGGUCCGGUUUCCCCAACGCGACGGCCACCCGCCCAUGGAGGACGUCGAAGGGAAGAGGAUCCGAGGACAUCCGCGAGCCCUCCAAAUCAGCCUCCGGUGUCAUCUCCCAAAGCGGCAACCGACGCUCCGCCAAGGGAAGCACCCUCCGGCGGUGGAUGGCGGCAAUCACUCCCGCGGCGGUGAGACCCCCUUUCUGCAACGCCUCCAAGGCCUUGAGAAGGGGCUCCAGGUUCUUCUAUCUUUCGUGCGGGGUCCCGUGGCGCCAAGCAUCGGCGGCGACGGUGACUACUCGCUAGGAGAACGGCGGGAGCAACUCGCCGUCAUUCUGGAGGUAGAACCACCGGCGCUGCCACCCUUUGUUCGAGGACGCAAGGAUGGCGGGAAUAUACAGUGACGCCCGCGACUGCCUCAGCUGGAGGAUGCAGCCGCCGGCCCGCACUGCCGCGCGGACCCUUCUCUCCCCGUCGGCGAAGCGAAAAGCUCCGCGAAAAAGAGAUGGGUCCACAAGUCCCAGUGGGGGGCGAUCCCCAAGAACCCAUCGCACACCGCUACGAAGAUGGCGGCCUGUGAGAUGGAGUUGGGGCUGAGGUUGUGCAACUCCACCCCGUAAUGGUGUAGGAUCGCCCGCAUAAAGCGGCUCGCCGGCACCCCGAAUCCCUGCUCGUGGAAGGAGACGAAGCUCACGAUGUACCCCAGUGGUGGGGACGAAGCGGCUCCACUCACGGGGGGAAUCCAUUCCGGCCGCCUCUCAUCAGAGAGAGGGCGAAGUAAACCCUCAGCAACAAGAUCCUCCAGAUCGCCCAUCGUCACUGUGGAGAAAGGCCAUGGGUCGCGCGGCGACAUGAUGGUCACCCGGUCGGCCAUCACCUAGCAGAGGGGGUGGCGGCACAAAGGACAGGGUGGGCAGUUUCCUUUUCUCUAGCUAAGUCUCUCGGGUCGCGAAAACCUAAGAGGGAGACAGGAAGCAGAGCAAAGAACCAUCGCCAGACCCUCCCCCGAGUAUAUAAAGACCAAAGCGAGACCGUUUCAACGCUCCGCCCGGACCGGCCGCGGGAUUCAAAAACACGAAGCAAAACAGCCGUUCCUCGAACGGCUCGCGACUCGCGCGCGCGCAACGGCCGCCCCGCAAACCACACGCCCCGUCGCAUUAACUCCGCGGCGGGACAGGCGGCGCCUCUAGCAGGAGAAGCGGGCGACGCUUCGCCUUCGCCAUAAUGACUGCGUCAGAAAAGGUACGCCGUGUCGAUUCGAUUUCGUAUCCUUUUCCUUUUUUCCUCUUUCUCUCUCUUGCAACAGGGACCGAGAAAGGGGGAUACCCCGAAAAGGAUCCUUCCCCGUGAAGGAACCAGGCUCCGAGCCUCCCUACUGAUCAGAGGUUCGAAGGCUGGCCCCUCGGAAGGGUUCAACAGCCGCCUCAGAGCGCGUGGGCUCCACACCCACUACUGGUCAGAGGUUCGAAGGCCGGCCCCUCGGAAGGGUUCAACGGCCGCCUCAGGCUACUCGGGCUCCGCGCCCACUACUGAUCAGGGGUUCGAAGGCUGGCCCCCGAAGGGUUCACAGCCGCCUCAGACACAGAGCGAGGGAUGACCAUGGGUACGUUCGAUACAUAACCAAGGCUCGGGCUGCGCUCCCGAGGUACCCUAGGGCAUUUCCGAGACCAGCGGGAACGAUCUUGUAACGGAAUCCCAUCGGAGGGAGGCAUCGAGCCCUCGGACCCCGUCGCCAGGGGACCGGACCCGCAGGUACUUUUGGGCGCGCCUCUGGGCCCCUAGCCGACCCCUAACGAACGGGGCACGGACGUCCACUCGGAUUACCCGCCUGCAGCUCACCGGAGACACCAUGUUCGGCGCCCACCGAGGGCAACAUGGCGCUUCCCCCCUCCUCCUUGCGGAAAGGCGACGCAAGGGCGUAUAUAAGAAAGUCGAGUCUGUCCCUGAUCGCCCUCUCGCCCUGUGCAGAGGCUCGGGGGCUGCUCUCGCAAACCCAGCUCCGGCCACACCGUUGACAGCGUCAACAUACCAGCCCAAGAACUUGGGACCCGACUGUACACCCGGGCUACGGCCAGCUCGCAUGAGGGAACGACCAGACCAGCCGAAGCAUUGCGCGAGGCAUUAAGACCUCGGAGGAGUCAAACCACUCCUCCGAGGCCUCGGGGGCUACACCCGGCGAGUGCGCUCGCGCGCUCCCGCUGGCACAAAACACAACCGAGAAAGGCUGGUCCCCUUGCAAAAAAGUGCGACGAAAGCCUCUAAGCGAGUGCUAACACUCCCUUCGAGGCUCGGGGGCUACUGUCGGGGACCAUAAUUAGGGGUACCCUCAAGGCUCCUAAUUCUCAGCUGGUAACCCCCAUCAGCAUAAAGCUGCAAAGGCCUGAUGGGUACGAUUAAGUCAGGGAUCAGUCCAUUCGAGGGACUCGAUCACGCCUCGCCCGAGCCUAGCCUCGGACAAGGGCAGCCGACCCCGAAGGAUCUCCGUCUCGCCCGAGGCCCCCCCUCCAGCGGCGAACAUAUUUCCGGCUCGCCCGAGGCCCUGUCUUCGCCAAGAAGCAACCCUGACCAAAUCGCCGCACCGACCGACCGAAUCGCAGGAGCAUUUAAUGCAAAGGUGGCCUGACACCUUUAUCCUGACGCGCGCCCCCCAGCCGACAGAGCCGAAGUGACCGCCGUCACUUCGCCGCUCCACUGGCCGGUCUGACAGAAAGACAGCGCCGCCUGCGCCGCUCCGACUGCGGUGCCACUUGACACAGUGAGGCUGACAGGCAGUCAGGCCCGGCCACAGGAACCAUAGGAAGCUCCGCUUCGCCCGACUCAGGGCUCGGACUCGGGCUAAGCCCCGGAAGACGGCGAACUCCGCUCCGCCCAACCCAGGGCUCGGACUCGGGCUAAGCCCCGGAAGACGGCGAACUCCGCUCCGCCUGACCCAGGGCUCGGACUCGGGCUAAGCCCCGGAAGACAGCGAACUCCGCUCCGCCCGACCCAGGGCUCGGACUCGGGCUAAGCCCCGGAAGACGGCGAACUCCGCUCCGCCCGACCCAGGGCUCGAACUCGGGCUAAGCCCCGGAAGACGGCGAACUCCGCUCCGCCCGACCCAGGGCUCGGACUCGGGCUAAGCCCCAGAAGACGGCAAACUCCGCUCCACCCGAUCCAGGGCUCGGACUCGAGCUCAGCCCCGGAAGACGACGAACUCCGCUCCGCCCGACCCAGGGCUCGGACUUGUGCUCAGCCCCAGAAGACGACGAACUCUGCUCCGACUGACCCCAGGGCUCGGACUCCGCCCUGGCCUCAGCCGACGGUCUCCGCCUCGCCCGAACCAGGGGGCUCGGACUCGACCUCGGCCACGGAAGACAGACUCAACCUCGGCUUCGGAGGAGCUUCCACAUCGCCCAACCUAGGGCGCAGACCAGCCACGUCAACAGGAGGCGCCAUCAUCACCCUACCCCGAGCUGACUCGGGCCACGGGGAACAAGACCGGCGUCCCAUCUGGCUCGCUCCGCCAGAUAGGCAAUGAUGGCGCCCUGCGUACUCUAUGACGACGGCGGCUCUCAGCCCCCUUACGGAAGCAAGAGGACGUCAGCAAGGACUCAACAGCUCCGACAGCUGUCCCUCCACCAGGCUCCAACACUCCUCCGACGGCCACGACAUCACACCAGCUGGGUGCCAAAAUCUCUCCGGCUGUCACGACGACAUGUACUUAGGGCGCUAGCUCUCCUCCGCUAGACACGUAGCAGUCUGCUAUACCCCCCAUUGUACACCUGGAUCCUCUCCUUACGCCUAUAAAAGGAAGGACCAGGGCCCUCUUAGAGAGGGUUGGCCGCGCGGGGACGAGGACGAGAACAGGCGCUCGCUUGGAGCCGCUCGCUCCCUCUCCCGCAUGGACGCUUGUAACCCCCUACUGCAAGCGCACCCGACCUGGGUGCGGGACGAACACGAGGCCACGGGAUUUCCACCUCUCUCACGCCUGUCUCCGGCCACCUCACUUCCCCCUUCGCGCUCGGCAUCGCGUCGACCCAUCUGGGCUGGGGCACUCGGCGACAUUCACUCGUCGGCUUAGGGACCCCCCGGUCUCGAAACGCCGACAAUAAUUUACAAAAAAUGCUUAGCCUUGCUUAUAAGCAGAUAGAGUUUGUCCUUUGCACUUAUGCCUAGCUCAGGUUUAUCCUGAGGAAGGAUGAUUUCUACCUGCAAGAAUAUUUUCAUUGGGAGCAUGGUGGGAUCUUACUGCAAAGUUCCCUAUAAUGCUCUUUUCAUCCUGGGGAGCACAAACACUCCUAAGGAUGGAAGUACUUAAAUCGGGACUUGGGCUAGGAACAGGUGAUGCUCCGCCCAGGUUAAUUAAGGAUUGGAUGCGUAUGUAGGCCUGUUGAUCAAGGACUAUCUUAACUAGCCACAUGCCCUGAAAAUGGGACAGGGUAAGCUUGAACCCGGCUAUUCCAUACGUGAAAAGACAACCGCGCACUGGGCGUGGGAGAUGGUGGGAGUAGCGUGUACCCUCCUGGCUAGAGGCUGGAUGGAGGAGUACUGUGCUCCCGGGUAGCGCGGACCGGUUCACGUUGUGGAGGAUCUGUGGGAACGGUUGACAUAUGCAAGGGUUAAGUGCUACAUAUGUCGUGUGGUUAGAAAUCCUCAGCUGAGUAAAUCGAUUCGGAUCGCCGUUAUAUCCCCGGAGAGUGGAGACUUGAUCUCCGACCUGCAACCUAAGUCAGGAUGUAAACAUUACGAGUAAAAAUGAUGUUGUAUUGAUGAGAUGGUGAAAUUAGACUAGGUGCAAACAGAGUCUAUUAAUAUUUAAUCUGGCAUUAAAAUAUUGAAAGUAAGGACUCACUUUAGUAAGCUUUUUCUGCAAAAGUAUCUAAGUUGAUUCUUGCUAAAAGCCUCUCCUUGAUUCCUAAAUCCAGCAUAUCCUUGAGAGUCUUUUUCCUUAGUCGGGUAAGACUUGCGAAAGUACACUUCGUACUCAGGGCUUUGUCCCAUGUUGUUUUAGGUGAAGAGCCUGUGGAGCUUUGCCACUUUUGUGCAAAGGUGGUUCCCAAGCAG
This 22002-nucleotide long non-coding RNA is filed under the name Zea mays. RNAcentral describes it as "long non-coding RNA (ZMAY_LNC003262)". Lineage: Eukaryota; Viridiplantae; Streptophyta; Magnoliopsida; Poales; Poaceae. The record is from RNAcentral.